Long non-coding RNA from Lingula anatina, 1604 nucleotides. NCBI's taxonomy places the organism in Eukaryota, Metazoa, Brachiopoda, Lingulata, Lingulida, Lingulidae. The record is from RefSeq and is a predicted model, not a curated record.
GCGGAAACAAUAUGCAAGUGUACCAUCAGGGGAUUUUACUGUUAUAUGUUCAGAUGACGUGAUGUUAAAAUUACAGGUCUGAAGAGUGUGGCGUUAGUUGGCAACGUCCAAACGGUCCAACCUGCACAUGAAAUAUUAGUGGACUCGUGGAGCAAGAAACCAAUCAUUAGACAUUAUCACUAGCCCAUAUCAACGGUUGUUAUCUUAUAUUAUAGUUUCACUGUUUUACUGUCCACGGCCUGCACAAUUCGGGAAAAAACAAGAGUUAGAAGUAGCAAUAGAUUUCCUCCAGGUAUUCACUCCGUCUGCGAUCUCAUCUGACAAGUAUUGCUUUGGGGUUGCAGGGAUUCCAUAACAGGGUGGUAGUGAAGUUACCAGGAAUAUGCAGGCUCCAGGGUAGUGGGAAGCAUGUCAGCUGCUGCACACACUUCUGCACCUAAAUAUAAAUAUGACUUUUUUGUUUGUCACCAUCAUGAUGACAGAUCAGUAGCAGAAGAUUUGUUGGAAUAUUUUGAAAAGGUGGACAUUGCUGGGAGGAAGUUGAAGGGUUAUUAUGAUAACCGAGAUGGAGAUGGUGGUAAAUCAGAAAUUAAGAAUUUGGAAGAAGCUAUUGACAACAGUCAGUUAAUUUUUCUUUUACUGUCCAAAGACUGUACACGUUGUAACUGGUAUGAACACAAAGUGCAUACAAGUUUGCAGACAUCUCUAGACGAUCAAGAAAGAAAGGGCUGUGUAAUCCCAAUUUAUAUUAAUAUUAAGAAAAAUGAUGCACCUUCAUCUCUCAGGUCUAUAUGUGGUGUGGCAUAUAAAGAAAGCAAAUCAAGCUAUUUUUGGAAAAGAUUAAAGGAUAUGUUUGAUAAAUAUCUUGGACAGUCAAACAGUUGACCAAGAGGAAGUAGACUGAAGGUCUAACCCAUAAUUCAGUUUUUGAUUAUUUAAAAAAGAAAAACCAUUGACAACAAUUUGUAAUUUUUGAUUGAUUAAUUUUUCUUUUUCUGUCCCAAGACCGUACAAGAUUUUACUACAGUGUAGUAUGGACACAAAGUGCAUACAAGUUCUGACAUCUCUAGAUGAUCAAGAAUGAAAGAGCUGCGUAAUCCCAAUUUAUAUUAAUAUUAAGAAAAAUGAUGCAGCAUCAUCUUUCAGUUCUAUAUGUGACAUAUAAAGAAAACAAAUCAAGCUAUUUUUGGAAAAGAUUAAAGGCCAUGUUUGAUAGAAUUAAAAUAUUGGACAGUCAAACAGUUUAGUGGAGGUCUCACCUGUAAUUCAGUUUGUGAUUAUUUGAAAAGUAAAAUGAGAGUUUUUUAUAUUAUUAUAUAAAGGUAUUAUGUAGAUUUUGGGGGGCAAUUUGAGAGAAGAUAAUGCAGUAAAAUACAUUUAAGUCUCAUCAUGGACAAAGUCCAAUAAUUUUCUUCAUGGUUUUAUUGUUAAACUUCCUGGUGUUGAAUGUUUAAAGAUAAUACAGCAGUAUGUGAAGAGAAACCUAAAAAGUGACCACACAUACAAUUUAAUUUACAUCAAAAAAAUUGAAGAACUUACACUACAAAUGAUUUUAUAUUUAUACAGUGUAUAUUCCACCUUGGGAGAAUAAAUGCUUUAAUUUA